AUUCACUUAUGCGAUCACGUGUACAUGACGCCUAUAUAUGUAUAUAUAUAAUAAUAAUUCUUCAUGUGGUAUUUAUUUACAAGCUCGUAAUAUAUAAUUUCUACAGUCGUCGUAUCUCGACGUUACGUUAGCACCUCAGAUCCACGGGAUAUUCUACAUACACAUUAUCAUAUUAUUUACGUUACCUAUACACCAUAUACAUUCAUAUAACUUAAUGAUUGAAAUAAUCGUUUCUACAUUUCCUUCGUAAUCAUUAUCAUCGAAUCCAAGGUGCGAUUCGCAAUCAUGGAUCAACGCUUCGCAGAAUUUUGAUCAACCGAUUUCGGCAACCAAGUUAAUUUAUACGGGUAAACACCUGUACACAUUUACUGGGUUUUCUAGGAACGAAAGUUCUCGGUCACCUUACUACGUGGCACGAGGAUCGGAGAUCAAGAUUAUCGUGACCAGCCACGCGAUCGUCAGAAGGAAUUUGAAAUUUGACGUCGAAUUUGCGCUCCCCGAAGAAAUCGAUUGCGCCGCGUUGUCGUCUCUGGUGUUCGAUCUUUCGGGUUCUCCGCCUCCACCGCCUCCGUCUUCGUGACGACCCCGGAGCCGGACAUCUGAAAUUAUUCGUCGAGCGCGGAGGUGCGGACGUUACUCUUAUACUCACAGUGAACGAUCAGCGAAAUCCUUUUGCUAACCGAGGGUGGAACGCCGUUGGAAGCUAUGCAGAG
RNAcentral lists this unclassified non-coding RNA (713 nucleotides) under Athalia rosae (coleseed sawfly). Its description in RNAcentral is "misc RNA ENSAEAG00005009561.1". Lineage: Eukaryota; Metazoa; Arthropoda; Insecta; Hymenoptera; Athaliidae. The record is from RNAcentral.